CCUACGGGUGGCAGCAGUGGGGAAUAUUGGACAAUGGGCGAAAGCCUGAUCCAGCCAUGCCGCGUGUGUGAAGAAGGCCUUCGGGUUGUAAAGCACUUUCAGUGGGGAAGAAAGCCUUGGGGCUAAUACCCUCGAGGAAGGACAUCACCCACAGAAGAAGCACCGGCUAACUCCGUGCCAGCAGCCGCGGUAAUACGGAGGGUGCGAGCGUUAAUCGGAAUUACUGGGCGUAAAGCGCGCGUAGGCGGUCUGAUAAGCCGGUUGUGAAAGCCCCGGGCUCAACCUGGGAACGGCAUCCGGAACUGUCAGGCUAGAGUGCAGGAGAGGAAGGUAGAAUUCCCGGUGUAGCGGUGAAAUGCGUAGAGAUCGGGAGGAAUACCAGUGGCGAAGGCGGCCUUCUGGACUGACACUGACGCUGAGGUGCGAAAGCGUGGGUAGCAAACAGGAUUAGUUACCCCUGUAGUC
Molecule: ribosomal RNA, 465 nt
Filed under: Vreelandella stevensii
Lineage: Bacteria; Pseudomonadati; Pseudomonadota; Gammaproteobacteria; Oceanospirillales; Halomonadaceae
Description: partial 16S ribosomal RNA
Rfam family: Bacterial small subunit ribosomal RNA
Source: RNAcentral